This is a long non-coding RNA of Hylaeus volcanicus, 1358 nucleotides long. RefSeq lists it as uncharacterized. The record is from RefSeq and is a predicted model, not a curated record. Lineage: Eukaryota; Metazoa; Arthropoda; Insecta; Hymenoptera; Colletidae. The transcript is spliced from 3 exons.
AUCGACGAUAACAUCGUGACGUUAAACGAGCAGAUUUCUUUGUGCAGACAGUUCCAUGGGAGAAACUCGUUGCACGGUUUUGUUUCGUCAAACUCUAUUAACUGUGUGGCUCUGUGGCUGGAGCUCUGCGUUGAAACUCUGCGGCGACGUUAUUAACCUAUUCAGUCUACAUUGUAAUGCACGUAGAGUUAAAUAUUGUCCGUAUGCAUACGAAAGCUUUCGAAACGUAAAAUUCGUGUAUCGAUUUCUGAUGAGGGUUCAGGCAGAUUUUCGACGGCUCGAAGACGAUGUUAAUUCAAUUUUUCUACACUUUCGCGGCAGCACGACGGAAUAGCGCCGUUCGAAGAGACAAUUCGUGGAAGACGGGGAUUCAGUGACAGUAAUUGGGGCUCGCGGACACAGUUUCUUCGGAUGCAAAUUGGAAAUGCAUAAAAGAUGAAGAACACUGUACUGGACAAGAUGUAAAUGACUGCAUGCAAAUGUUGACUGAUUGCAAAGUUGCAAGCGUUACAUUAUACCUCGAGUAAUCUAGAACAACGUCGCGGCAACAAAACAUCGACCCCCCUUUUCUCGCGCCGAGACAAAGGGCAAUCAGCUUAUGCGUCGGUAAAAAUUGAAAGCCCUAAACAGUGUAAUGCAAUGAAGGCAAGAGCGAGGAAAAAUGUACUCGCGUAGAAUUUAGAACUCUAAAACGAGCUGGCUCGUAACGUGCCUGUGUGUCGAAGUGUUUGGUUAGUGGUAUUUAAAUAAUUCUAUUUUUAUAUAGUUGCAGUGGAUAAAAUCUACAUUCAUGUAUCUAUGGUGCAAUGCAGCGGGAACGUGUAAAAAUGUACUCGCGUAGAAUGUAGAACUCUAAAACGAGCUGGCUCGUAACGUGCCUGUGUGUCGAAGUGUUUGGAAGUGCACGUGAGCGCUGAUUUCCCGAUCACGGAAAAAGUUUCCAUUCAUUGUUCGGCGGCCCCGAAGAAGAAGCUCGCUCCUAUUUGCGCCGGUUCUUUCAACGCGAUGGAACAGAAGUUGCAAAGGAGGUGCGAUACCUGUUGCACACGAGCAUCGCGGGAACGAGUCAACCGCCGGAUACGAAACUUAAUGUUUCGGAUAAUGUGCCAGUCGACAAUAUCGCGUCGCGAUCUCCUACCACUGCUUGAUAGUCAUUCGAGCGCCGUUUUGGAAAGGAGUCUCAGUAGGGCACCAUUUGCAUCAGGAGACAUAUAUGUACAUUUCAAAGGCGGCACUUGCUGAGGAUGACUGCGAGCACCUGGUCCACCAGCGGGCUGGGGAACACCACCAGCAGCAGCGGCUGCUGCUCGCUGCCUCAGGCUCUGCUGGGUGAAGUUGAUGGUCUGGGACUGCGAGAC